RNAcentral lists this ribosomal RNA (544 nucleotides) under uncultured Glomeromycotina. RNAcentral describes it as "SSU rRNA". It matches the Rfam family "Eukaryotic small subunit ribosomal RNA", at positions 548 to 1097 of the family's 1831-position model. The record is from RNAcentral. Lineage: Eukaryota; Fungi; Glomeromycota.
UUGGAGGGCAAGUCUGGUGCCAGCAGCCGCGGUAAUUCCAGCUCCAAUAGCGUAUAUUAAAGUUGUUGCAGUUAAAAAGCUCGUAGUUGAAUUUCGGGGUUCUACCGUUGGUCGGGCUAUUGUCUGUACUGGCGUGUAGAAUUUCUACCUUCUGGGGAACUAUCAUGUUAUUAAUUUAGCGUGGUAGGAAACCAGGACCUUUACCUUGAAAAAAUUAGAGUGUUCAAAGCAGGCUUAUGUCUGAAUACAUUAGCAUGGAAUAAUAAAAUAGGACGGUGGUCCUGUUUUGUUGGUUUCUGAAUCACCGUAAUGAUUAAUAGGGAUAGUUGGGGGCAUUAGUAUUCAAUUGUCAGAGGUGAAAUUCUUGGAUUUAUUGAAGACUAACUACUGCGAAAGCAUUUGCCAAGGAUGUUUUCAUUAAUCGAGAACGAAAGUUAGGGGAUCGAAGACGAUCAGAUACCGUCGUAGUCUUAACCAUAAACUAUGCCGACUAGGGAUCGGACGAUGUUAACUUUUCUUGACUCGUUCGGCGCCUUACGGGAAA